UUGUCUUUCUGUCUUUCCUUUUUUUUUUUUUUUUUUUUUUUUUUUCUCAUUGUUGUGCUUAUUUUAAUGUCUGCUGCCUGUCCUCAGCGCCAAAGGAAACUGUGAUCCAUAAUUCCUGGUGCUGCCCAGCCUGCAGUAAAACUGCUCAGUGUGAAACGUAAUAUGCAAAAAGUUCUUUUCUCUCUCUCUCUUUUUUUUUUUUAUAUUUUUUUAUUUUUUUAUAUUUUUGGCAAGCUCUGGAAAAAGGCUUGUUUCCUGGCAGGAGAAAAAGCCAGCCUUGGCUUCAAGCAGCCACUGACAAUUCCCAGCAUAUGGUAAGAGAGGGAGCUUCCGCCUACCCCAUCAGAGGAGAUCAGACUAAAGGCCCCAAGUUCCAGCUUCCAGCAUCUGAAAGAAGCUAGGUCAGGAUUUUACAAAAAGGACCAAGAAAUCAAUUUUGUUAACCAUUGACAAGGACCUUACAGACAGGAAAGUUUCUUUCACAGCCUUACAUUCCUGCUCAACUUGGCCCUUGGAAGUAUUGAUGGGAAUCCCAAAUAGAAGGAAUUUACCUGCUGCUAAUUUGGGUACCACAGGGCUUAGCCUGUGGUAUAUAUAUCUGAAAGCUACUAUUAGAAGACAUUUUGGAAGACACGAAACCUAUAUACUUCAGAUAAGAAGCCUAAUAACUUGGGGCACAGACCAACUGAAAAUCAAUUCCACAUGUUUGAGGCUUCUGUACUCUAGCUGAUAAGGCAGAACCUGGAGUUUCAACACAAAAGUUGUAAUAACCAUUGACAGCAAUACAGAGACUGUGAUUAUGUAAAUGAUGCAGUAAACUUGUAUGAACAUAACUGUAGCAAUGAAAUACUUUACACUAAUUUUUGAGGACAUUUAUAUAUUGGUGCUUGCACAAGAUGUGGGCUAUAAGGCCACUAUCCCUUCAACACUAGACUGAGAUGUUUUCAGUUGAUGACCAUUCACUGUUAUUAUUAUACUUGUAAAUCACAGCCUGUCUUCAUCCCUGCAGAUCAAAAAGAGAGUAAUUUCUAUUCUAUAGGGGAUUACUUGUACUACUUGUCUCCUAGAUCUACUCUAUGAUCUAUGGAGUGCAUUUCUGUCUGGAAUUAUUUUUUUCUGCUUGGGAGUUAUAUUUUUCCUAUGAAUCAUGAAGGGACUUCUGAGAUCUUGCAAAGACCAGUGAAAGAUCUAACUCUUGCUCACUUUGAGGUACUUAAAUGAAGCAUCUGAGCCUGGAGUCCUGGCUGUAUGACAGAGGGACAAUACCAGGUGAGAACCAGUUCUGAAUUUCAUCAUGAGAAUUUCAUUCAUUUUCUGGAUGUGUUCAUCUUUCUCCCUUAGCUCAGAGGACCCAGGCCUAGCAGAUUCCCAUGCUCUUCAGUCUAUAGCCUUGGGUUAGAUUAAAUGAGUCCAUACUUAUGAUCAGCAGAGUUCCAAAAAGAAAAAUAGAAAAAAACAAACCCAAACAAACAAAAAACACACCACCACCACCAACAACAAAGAAAAACAAACAAAUAAACAAAAAAAACACAAAACAAAACAAAAACAAAAUGAUACUAUAAUAUCUCAGUAGAACAGUGAAGAAGUAAAGGAGAAAAAAGGGACAUCUGUCUCAGUAUUUCUCAGAGGAAAAGUGCAGCUCACUGGGUAUUUUCAUUCUCUGACUGCUCCCUCUGCUGCCUGUGAGGUGGCUGGAGGGGAGCCAACAAGCCGCACGGCCCCUGCAUGGCUGCCCAGGUGGGCUCUGCAUCCCUCUUCCUCACCCUGCUCUCAGCAUUAGAGAUGCCGACAGUUACUAGAUAAAGUUAAAGACUCAUGUAGUGAUCUUCACACUAAUUGGACUGUAAUGUAUAGCCUCGGUCAAGCAAAUCUCUCCCAGCACUCCUCUCCACAGACGGCAAUCAAGCCAUUUACAGAAGAUGCAUCGGCUGCUGGGACCCUGGAGUAACCUUAAACUGCACUGGCCUUUUAGCAGAAAACACAAUUAAUUUUGAUACUGAAGGGCAAUUAGGACUGGGGUUAAAAUAAAAAAUCUUCUGAACAGAGAAUGUCAAAGACUGGUAAGGAAACUAUUUCCCUUGUACACAGCGCAUUGAAGGUCUGUAAGCACAGCAACUGUCAGCUCAUGUUAAUUCAGAUCACUUUGUAACCCCCCCCUCCAUUUCGAUGGGAGAUAUGUAAAUUUAAAUUAAUAAGCACUGUGCUCAAACCCCACUAAGACUGAUAGGUAUUUUAGUUAAGUCUUUGCUGCUGGAAUAAGCACAGCUUCUCAUACUUUGCUGGGGAAACCUGUUUUACAUCUCAGAAUUUAGUGAAACGACCAAAUGCAUUUAUUUUGUUCUGUUUCAUUUCCAAAAGAAAAUGGUCUCCCAGCUGACACUCUGCAGAUCACAGCUUAGAGCAAAUCAUGUCAGCAACUCUAUAAACUUCUCUUUAGAAGCACAGAAGAUGUUCACAGUAAUACAUAUCUACAUGCACCCACAUGUCCUAACAUAUGUGCAAGGCAGCCAAAAUUUUGACCUCACCUGUGCAAACUGCUUAGGUCUCUGUCACUCUCCAUAACUCAAGUAAAUGCAGCAGACUUGUUGGUUGUGAUUUUUAUCAGCAUUUUUUCCUCCCACAGCAAUCACUUAACACUCAGUGAAGCCAGUGAGUGUCAUUGGCACAACUGAAGUACAGUUGCUUAUCUCUAAGGACAGUGAUAUUCACCGUGGAAAUUUUCAAUACACAUUUUGUUUAAGAACUAGAGAUAAAAGAUGAAUGCUCAGGAAUCAUAUGUGAAAUCCUGAUCCAGCAACAUUCAGAUUAGGCAAAGAUCUUUAGGCAAAGAUUUCAGAAGCAUCAGCCAAUAAUUGUUACUGAAGAUAUUUCUGGGGACAAAUAUUGAGUGAAGCUAGGCAUUUUCUCAAACUGUACAUGAGUAUUUGUCACUGACAGCCCAAGAAAAAGUGGACAUCUUCAAUACAAAUAAUCUCAAUAAAGUCACGCUUCUGGCUAGUGUAUGAGAAAGCAAUGAGGGACAUUUUAGGGUGCUCCCAAUGGAUAGGAUAUUUGUGAAUCUUUUUCUCAAAACACCCCCUGAACAAGCAGAUUUACACAGUGUACACUAAGGAGUUUUACCCCCCAGAUGGUACCCGUGCAACAAGGCCAGCACAACUCUUGCAACAAUUCUGCCAUGGUCAGUGACUCCCAAAUUCUGAUCUUAAAAUUGCUGAUGUUUGAUCCUCUUUGAAUGCAGGCCUAAGCCUACUGGUCUGGAAAAAUGAGAUCUGGACUCCUGAGGAGGGAAAUGUGUAGGGGAAAGUCCAUGACACCAGAGAGGAAACUGUAAAGAUGCUGCAGUCUUUCUUAGAGAUGAAUUCAUAGAAAACUGGGGCCAGGUGAGGUGCUGUCCUCCUCCUUACACUGCCAGUGACAUUGCUGCAGGCACUGUCAUCAGAUGAGAUAAUUUCAGUUAAAAUGAGAGAGAAAAGAUGUUAGCUAGGGGCUUGACUUUGAAAAUCUCUUUCUGCUUUGGUCCAGGGCUGCUCAUACCUGUUAGCUUCCCAGGCUUGGUAGAGGAACUUAAUUUCUCCCUGACCUACAGAGAACAAGCAGAUGUCUGAGGCAAGGGUCCACCAUGAUAGUCGUGGUGGGGUUUACUACAUUUUGGUUCAAUUCCUGUUGCCAUCAGUGGGUAACUUCCAGAGACUGUUUACACAUGAAUUACCUUUUUAAGAGUUUGUCAGAGAGCCCAAAGCUCAUGUCAAGUUUGUUUGUUUGUUUGUUUGUUUGGAGCAGUCUGAACAAAUCUCAGUCUUUAAUAUCAAAGGGAAUAUUUCCAGGUAUGCAGGCACAUAGUAGUUGGAAAGAGAUGGAGGAGGGUGAGAGUAGCCUUUACAUAGCUAGAAAAAUAUCAAGAUGCUAUUUCCCUCGAUGCUAUUGAAAAGACUCAUUUUUCUUUGUCUUUCCAGGUUCUCUUUUCCAUUUACAAGGCUCUCCAAUCUGCAGUGAACUGUUUUCUCAUCUGAGACUCGGGCAGCCAUCCCACAAGCUGUACUUGGGAAACCACUAACUGAUGUUAGAUUUACACAGUGGAUAGUUUUUAUAUAUGUUUUUCUUAAAAGCAGCAUCCUAGGGGAAUCUCUCCGUGGCAAAAACAGCACAAGAAGCACUACCAGCCAAUAGAGCAUCUGAGGAGUUCACAGGGUUAAAACUAUUGUUUUCAGGGAUUGAUUCAAUCUCUGCUUUGUCAACCUGUUUAAGUUCCAGGGCCCCAUUCUGACCAGCUACAACGAAGGGUGAAGAGCCCAGAGUAAACUCAUUUGGGCCUUUUAAGUACAACAUGAUUCAUACUUGUGUGCAGCCUCUGUCAUGGGUUGUGCGCAGCCCACUGCCAGAAACCAUGUCACCCUCUCAAUCUUGUGCUGGAGGGGGCAGGUGGACAAGAUAACUUAAUAGCUCUUAUUCAUUUGGAAUUUCUGUGGUUAUGGGGUAGGUCACCUUGUUCAGUGAGAGAGGGAAAGCAUGUAAAUCUUCAGCCCAAACUCAAGCUCCAGUGUAAGCAACUUUCAGAGAAGCUGAAUUUAUAUUUCUUCUCUUGUUAUCUUGUAAUUUCUUGGGGCAUCCCUUUACAGAAUAGUGAUGCAAGGGCCCCAGGAGUAAUGAAAAUAAACAUAAAAAUAAUCCACUGUGUUCACAUGCGUGGCAUGAAAGUGAAAAUUCCCACCAGUGACUUGAGUGAGGGACAUGAGCAGAUUUGGUCUCUGCAAAGCACAUGGCUCAAUGCUGGAACCAGCCUUAACAUAGGUUCCCGCAUUCGUACACAGUAGGGUGGGAAUGCAGAGCACAUCCCAAUUCCCCACAUGUGUGGGUCUGACCCAACCCUGCUGUGCCAACCUGCAACAAAUCAUGCAAUCACACUGCUGGGUCAGUGCAGUUUGCGGUAAAGUCUGACAACUUGCAAGGAUAAGAUCUUCCUGGGUGUAUUAUCAUUUCCUUUUCUAGAGAAACACGGAGUUAGAAAUAUGAGACUGGAUGAGAGUAACCAAACAACUGCAUUUGAAAAUGGCCAGCAUCAAGCCCUAUAAAGACAUCAAGAACCAGGUGAAUCUAAUGGCUUGCAGUACCUCCUCCUAACAUUCAAAAUUUAGAAGUGGUUUUAUGUCCUGAAGCAUGUGGGCUUUUAAAGAGACCAAAAUAUUAUUUUAAUUGAUUUUUUUUCACAGUCCUUAUGGUGAUGCCUAGUCAUUCUUCUUGCCUAUACUAACAUCAUCAUGUAGUUACAAGGAAAAAGAGAGAAACAAGUGCAAAACAGCCCCAUAUUUUGGAGGAUCAAUUUUCCUUGAAUAAAUGACAGUGCUAAAGGAAAUAAAUAAAUAAAUAAAUAAAAGAGAAAAAAAAAGUU
Anas platyrhynchos (mallard) is the source of this 5386-nucleotide long non-coding RNA. RefSeq lists it as uncharacterized. Lineage: Eukaryota; Metazoa; Chordata; Aves; Anseriformes; Anatidae. The record is from RefSeq and is a predicted model, not a curated record.